Molecule: long non-coding RNA, 375 nt
Organism: Scatophagus argus
Lineage: Eukaryota; Metazoa; Chordata; Actinopteri; Scatophagidae
Exons: 3
Source: RefSeq, a predicted model, not a curated record
CAGCUCCACGUUUGGAGCGAAUAGCCAAACAAACUGUCAAGAUCAAUGGCUUGUUAUGACUCCAGUCUACGCUCUGCAUCGUGACCCUGAGCUAUGGCCACAGCCGGAAGAAUUCAAACCUGACAGAUUUAGCAAGGAGAACAGACAGAGCAUCAACCCAUACACUUACCUACCAUUUGGACUGGGGCCAAGGAACUGUUUGGGGAUGCGAUUUGCUCUGGUGUUGGUUAAGCUGGCCCUGGUGGAAGUUUUGCAGAACUACAGUUUCUCAGUCUGUGAGGAGACAGAGAUCCCACUGAAGAUGGACCCUACAGGCCUUGUUGGACCCCUAAACCCAAUCAAACUAAAGCUGGUGGCGCGCUGAUCUUUCUAGGG